This 468-nucleotide ribosomal RNA is filed under the name uncultured bacterium. Its description in RNAcentral is "bacterial SSU rRNA". It matches the Rfam family "Bacterial small subunit ribosomal RNA", at positions 9 to 523 of the family's 1533-position model. The record is from RNAcentral.
GAGUUUGAUCCUGGCUCAGAAUGAACGCUGGCGGCAUGCCUAACACAUGCAAGUCGAACGAAGGCUUCGGCCUUAGUGGCGCACGGGUGCGUAACGCGUGGGAAUCUGCCCUCAGGUUCGGAAUAACAGCGAGAAAUUGCUGCUAAUACCGGAUGAUAUCGCGAGAUCAAAGAUUUAUCGCCUGAGGAUGAGCCCGCGUAGGAUUAGCUAGUUGGUGUGGUAAAGGCGCACCAAGGCGACGAACCUUAGCUGGUCUGAGAGGAUGAUCAGCCACACUGGGACUGAGACACGGCCCAGACUCCUACGGGAGGCAGCAGUGGGGAAUAUUGGACAAUGGGCGAAAGCCUGAUCCAGCAAUGCCGCGUGAGUGAUGAAGGCCUUAGGGUUGUAAAGCUCUUUUACCCGGGAUGAUAAUGACAGUACCGGGAGAAUAAGCUCCGGCUAACUCCGUGCCAGCAGCCGCGGUAA